GGGCGCGGGGCGCUUGUCAAGUCCGUGCUAACCUCUCAGGUCAUUUACCACAUCAUCGCCCUUUGGCCUCCAUCGGGCACCCUGCUGAACAUCACAGAAUUGGAGAGGGCAUUCCUAUGGGCGGGCUCUAAUAAGACAACUGGGGCCAAGUGUAAGGUUAACUGGGGAUCAGUCUGUCGGCCGAUUGACCUCGGAGGGCUUUGUCCUGGACUUGGCUAA
RNAcentral lists this ribosomal RNA (219 nucleotides) under Triticum aestivum (bread wheat). RNAcentral describes it as "partial small subunit ribosomal RNA". Lineage: Eukaryota; Viridiplantae; Streptophyta; Magnoliopsida; Poales; Poaceae. The record is from RNAcentral.